AUGAAAUUAAAAUUAUUAAAUAUAAUUUUAUCAAUAAUAAAUAAACUUAAUAAUAAUAAUAAUAUUAUUAUUAAUAAUCUAUUAGAUUCAUUAAUAAAUAAGAAAUUAUUAUUAAAGAAUAUAUUAUUAGAUAUAAAUAAUAAAAAAAUAAAUAAUAUAAAAAGAAUAUUAAAUAAUAAUAAUAUAAAUAUUAAUAAUAAAUUACAACAUUUAAAUAAUAUAAAUAAUUGAAAUCUACAAAUUUAUAAUUAUAAUAAAAAUAUAGAAAUUAUAAAUACUAUAAAUGAUAAAUUAAUUAAUAAAUUAUUAUAUAAAAUAAUAACUUUAAAAUUAAAUAAUAUAAACCCCGCGGGACCAAUCCGGUGAACAACCGGAUUGGCAAUCCGGUGAACAACCGGAUUGGCGCCCGCGGGGAAUAUUAAUAAAAUUAUUAUAAGUAAACUUAUUAAUCAACAUAGUUUAAAUAAAUUAAAUAUUAAAUUUUAUUAUUAUAAUAAUGAUAUUAAUAAUAAUAAUAAUAAUAAUAAUAAUAAUAAUAAUUAUUAUAUAAAUAUAAUAAAUAAAUUAAUAAAUAUUAUAAAUAAUAAUAUAAAUAAUAAUUUAUGUAAUAUUUUAAGUUAUUAUUAUAAUAAAAAAGUAACUAUUGAACCUAUUAAAUUAUCAUAUAUUUAUUUAAAUAGUGAUAUUUUUAGUAAAUAUAUUAGUUUAAAUGAUAUAGAUAAAUAUAAUAAUGGUAUCUUAACUAAUUAUCAACGUAUAUUAAAUAAUAUUAUGCCUAAAUUAAAUGAUCAUAAUAUUUCUAUAAAUUAUAUUAAUAAUAUUAAUAAUAUUAAUAAUAAUAAAUAUAAUAAUAUAAUUAAUUUAUUAAAUAAUAAUAAUAAUAUUAAUAAUAAUAAUAAUUAUAAUAAUAAUAAUAAUAAUUAUAUUGGUAAUAUUAAUAAUAUUUAUAAUAAUAUAACUAUUGAUAAUAUUCCUAUAGAUAUUUUAAUAUAUAAAUAUUUAGUUGGUUGAUCUAUUAAAUUUAAAGGUAGAUUAAGUAAUAAUAAUGGUAGAACUAGUACACUUAAUUUAUUAAAUGGUACUUUUAAUAAUAAAAAAUAUUUAUGAAGUAAUAUUAAUAAUAAUUAUAAAUUAAAUUAUAUCCCUUCUAAUCAUAAUUUAUAUAAUAAUUCUAAUAUUAAUAAAAAUGGUAAAUAUAAUAUUAAAGUUAAAUUAAACUUUAUUUAA
This 1227-nucleotide ribosomal RNA is filed under the name Saccharomyces cerevisiae (brewer's yeast). The record is from RNAcentral. Lineage: Eukaryota; Fungi; Ascomycota; Saccharomycetes; Saccharomycetales; Saccharomycetaceae.